ACAGGUGCUGCAUGGCUGUCGUCAGCUCGUGCCGUGAGGUGUAGGGUUAAGUCCCGCAACGAGCGCAACCCUUGUCUUUAAUUGCCAUCAUUGAGUUGGGCACUUUAAAGAGACUGCCGGUGUUAAACCGGAGGAAGGUGGGAUGACGUCAAGUCCUCAUGGCCUUUAUGCCCAGGGCUACACACGUGCUACAAUGGUCGGUACAGAAGGAAGCGAAGUCGUGAGAUGGAGCAGAUCCGAGAAAGCCGAAUCUCAGUUCGGAUUGGAGUCUGCAACUCGACUGCGUGAAGUCGGAAUCGCUAGUAAUCGUGGAUCAGCAUGUCACGGUGAAUACGUUCCCGGGUCUU
Molecule: ribosomal RNA, 347 nt
Filed under: uncultured Paracoccaceae bacterium
Lineage: Bacteria; Pseudomonadati; Pseudomonadota; Alphaproteobacteria; Rhodobacterales; Paracoccaceae
Description: bacterial SSU rRNA
Rfam family: Bacterial small subunit ribosomal RNA
Source: RNAcentral